RNAcentral lists this ribosomal RNA (502 nucleotides) under uncultured bacterium. Its description in RNAcentral is "partial 16S ribosomal RNA". It matches the Rfam family "Bacterial small subunit ribosomal RNA", at positions 28 to 507 of the family's 1533-position model. The record is from RNAcentral.
GACGAACGCUGGCGGCGUGCCUAAUACAUGCAAGUCGAACGAACCGCGACUAAGUGCUUGCACUAAGUCAAGGGGAGUGGCGAACGGGUGAGUAACACGUGGGUAACCUACCUCAUAGUGGGGGAUAACAGUCGGAAACGACUGCUAAUACCGCAUAGGACAUAGGAGCACAUGAUCCAGUGAGGAAAGGUGGCGCAAGCUAUCGCGAAGAGAUGGACCCGCGGUGCAUUAGCUAGUUGGCAGGGUAAAGGCCUACCAAGGCGAUGAUGCAUAGCCGACCUGAGAGGGUGAUCGGCCACAUUGGGACUGAGACACGGCCCAAACUCCUACGGGAGGCAGCAGUAGGGAAUCUUCCGCAAUGGACGCAAGUCUGACGGAGCAACGCCGCGUGAGUGAAGAAGGUCUUCGGAUCGUAAAGCUCUGUUGUUAGGGAAGAACAGCGCAUAGAGUAACUGCUAUGCGUGUGACGGUAUCUAACCAGAAAGCCACGGCUAACUACGUG